Acanthochromis polyacanthus (spiny chromis) is the source of this 2504-nucleotide long non-coding RNA. RefSeq lists it as uncharacterized. The transcript has 2 exons. Lineage: Eukaryota; Metazoa; Chordata; Actinopteri; Pomacentridae. The record is from RefSeq and is a predicted model, not a curated record.
GAGUUCAGAAAAAAUCAUCAACACAAACAACACACAAGAAAUUCAUGAAAAGUGGAGGAAGAACAUCAUCUUACUUUUUCUAUUUAUAGAAGAGUAGAAGGCCGACUGCUACGACUCCUGCUACUACCACUGCUGUUGCUACUGCUAUUAAAGCCCAAGUACUUGCAUCCAUCUUCCACUUUUUUCCUCCAACAUGGACUGAUGUCCAUGAAAUAUGAAAAGAUUCAGUUAAUUUUCUGCCCCUGAGUUAUGAAUAAUUUGAGAUAAUUUGCAUACGCCACUUUCUACGCAAAGGUUGUGAUUUAUAAAAACAAACUUGGCUUGAGAAUGUGCGCACCGGUGCGCCAACUUUGAUGCUUGCUUAAGCACAUUUUGAACGGCAGUGCCGGAGGGUGAAGUGGUGAAUUGAAACCAGAUUGAUCUCAAACCUUUAUUGUCAUCACAUAUUAGACUUGUAGAGCCGGAUAAUCAUAAACCCUCAUUGUUGUAGAUGUUCCUAUAGUGCGCCAUUCAGCCUACAACUGUAUUUGCAGAACUAUGUUCAAAUAUCAAACUUCCGUCUUCAAAUGAUACAGAGUGGUGAGUGGCACUGAUUGAUUACUAAUUUGGAAAAGGUAUGAGACAAUCAGUCCAAUCGCUGAUCAAGCGGAUAAAUAGCGGGUGACAGCCGUGCGUAAUGUGGCACAAUGGAUGCGUUGGCAUUGCUGGAAGAUCACGUAAAGAAUGGAGAGAGAUUUUAGGGACCACAGGGAUUUCCUGGACGAUGACUGGCUAAUAAGCCGAUUCAGAUUCCCUAGAGCAGUACUCUUGGAUCUAUGUGCUGAACUGGGCCGUCUUAGACAGACCCACCCCCCGAAACCAUCCCGGUACAGACACAGGAGCUGACGACUCGGGGGUUUCUGGCGACACCGGCUCCCUCCAGUGGGAAGUGGCCGACAGACCGCCUCUGUCCAAACCUCCCUCCUUCCUCCUACUCCCCUGACCCUGAAAAGAGGAAGGACCUCCGGGAGGAAUGAAAGCAGGAGAAGUGGGCUCCUGGUGAAGUGGAUCGGGAAGGUCAGGAAUGUCGUGUCAUCGGCUGCAGGGGGUCGGAUCACUGGGCCUAAUGGUCUGGAGAGACAUCAUACAGGGUAACUCCAUAUUUCCCCAAUCUGGGAAUUUGAGGAAUUCAAAGGGACAGUGAAGGAGAGCUGUUGUCUGAAACGGAUAAUUGGACUUAUCUAGAGGAAGGCCUGAAGAUCUGAGAAUUCCUGGGAUGCUGCAUGACAACAACUGGAGAUUUUUCUGGUUUUUACGUUCACAAUCUUUGGUCACUGCUCAAACUAAAUGAAGCUGUCAUUCAAAUUCUAAGUCCAGAGACUCCCUGAAGUCCCAAUCUGUAAAUCUAGAGGAUAUUAUCAUGUGUCAUAAGGAAAUAAUCUCGACUUGGUUUCUGUCUUUUACCACUAAUGCUAACUACAACCUACUUUAGAACACUAAGCAUCCUAUAGAUGAUUCACUUUGGAGUAAAGAACGACUUUAUCCUUAACCGUACUCUACUUUUAUUUGCCUAAAAUCAACCAAAUGCUCCUAUUUUGCAUGAAAAUUUUAAUGGGUUUUGAGUAAAACUAUAAAGAUUUGGUAAUCAGCUAAAGAAAAGCACCUGGUAUCCGGUAGUUACCUCCGCCAGGAGGUUAUGUAAUCACCGGAGUUUGUUUGUCUGUGUGUGUGUGUCUGUUUGUCUGUUAACAGCAUAAUUCAAAAAGUUGUGGACGGAUUUUCACCAAAUUUUUUACAGGAUGUCCGGAAGAGCAAGAGUAACAAUCGAUUAGAUUUUGGAGGUGAUCCGAAUCACCGUCUGGAUCCAGGAAUUUUUUGAAGGUCGAAGGACGGCCAUCUCUCAAUUGGACAGAGACUACAUGAACGUAACAGCGUACAUGAACGCAUGUCAAACAUGGGUCAGAUGCCAUCUGCAAAUAAUUCCUUUCACUCUUUAUCUUAAGAGCCAAAUCACACGAGGCAUGAUAAAGUAGAUUGCUGUCCUGACGACUCAACUGAGUGCAUCCACUGUGACCGUCUACAGCAGGGUGCCUCAAACAAACGCAGCGAUGUUUGCAGAAGCUGACCUUGGAGCAGUUCACCUGAGAGCUGACGGAGCUGCAGGAACAUGCCAGGCUGUGUGUUCCCCCGAUGACUCCAUUUACAGUUCUGCACCACUGCAACUUAAUAAUGUCCCACAUGUACAAACAAGAGUUCUGCAGAUAUGAUCCCAGUUUGUGUGUUUAGGAAAUGUAUGAGCUUGUCCUUGAUAUGUUAGGUUCUUUGAAUGUGCAUUGGGAAAACAGACGUAUUCACACAGUUACCAUAAGUAUUCAGAGGUCAGAGGCGAACUCCUGUAAAGAAAUCUAAUGUAGAGUGUUGUGAUCGCUGCAGGUUUCAAUGGUAUCGACAUUUUUCUCUGCACGCUUUGCUGGAGAUACAUCUUUGCAUGAUGAAUACAUCAAGUCGGAUUAGCAACACUGUCA